Molecule: long non-coding RNA, 564 nt
Organism: Glossina fuscipes
Lineage: Eukaryota; Metazoa; Arthropoda; Insecta; Diptera; Glossinidae
Exons: 3
Source: RefSeq, a predicted model, not a curated record
GACGACGCCAGUACAAUUUAGACGAACAUUAGAAAAUUUCCCAACAGUUUUCGUGUAGCUUUUCCGACGUUAUGACGUGGUUACGGUUGAAGAAAAUUCUUUCUUCUAUAAAAUCUUAAACAAAAAUUAAAUUCUCGAAAUUAUCCGUUUACUACCAACUAAUGGGAAAAUUGUAAAUAACUUAUGCAACAACAUGUUGAAUAAAAUACUCGAAGAGAAGAGAGAGAGAGCUCGCCCAGCAUUUUGAGAAAAAUGAAGAAGUAAAAAAGCUGAAAAUAAUGUUGAACUUACUGGUAAUUGACCAUUAAUUGUUGUUGCUACUGUUGUUAAAUGCAAUUGAAAUGAAUCGAAUUGUUUGCUCUUGAGACAGCGAACUGACAACGUUGAUAAAAGAAAUUAACAACAAAAGCAUUAAUUAACAUUCAACUGAAAAGUUUGAUGAACAACAAAACCAAUAUAAACAAACAAUUUUCAAUGCCCUGCGAAGAACGCGAAUAGAGAAACAUUAUAACUAUAUAUAUAUAUAUAUUUAUAUAUAUAUAUAUACAUGAAAUAUGCUCUUUC